UUCUUUUUUUUUUUUUUUUUUUUUUUUUUUUUUUUUUUUCCCCCCCCCUUUCCGGGCGCUACAACUCUCCCCCCCAUAAAGAAAUUUGGUCCCCAAAUUUGCCUCAUUACUCUUGAUCAAACAGAUGAGGAUAUUGGGCCCUAAAUUCUGAUUCCAGCUCCCAAGUCGCCUCCCUAGGCGUGUGGUUCUGCCACAAGACUUUUACAAAUGAUAUUUCCCGGUUACGGAGUAUUCUGCUUUCUCGGUCUGUGAUACUGACCGGUACUUCUUCAUAAGACAAGUCCUCUCGGAGUGAGAGCGGUUCAUGAGCCACGACAUGAGAAGGGUCCGGAUUGUACUUGCGCAGCAUAGAUACAUGAAACACAUUGUGAACCCGGGAGAGCUCAGGGGGCAGUGCAAGUCUGUAGGCAGUGGUACCAAUCUUGUCUAAGAUUUCAAAGGGUCCAAUGUAUCUGGG
This 457-nucleotide long non-coding RNA is filed under the name Carica papaya (papaya). RNAcentral's name for it is "long non-coding RNA (CPAP_LNC015270)". The record is from RNAcentral. Lineage: Eukaryota; Viridiplantae; Streptophyta; Magnoliopsida; Brassicales; Caricaceae.